GAAAAGAUUAAAAAAAUAAAUCACAAAAUUUUAGUAAAUAUAGUGUGAAAUACAUAACAAAGAAAUAAACCCGUUUCUUGGUUGGAUUCUUGAAGCUUGAUUAGUUUUGGUCAUGAUUUCUCCAAACUUUCCCUCCUUUUUGUGUGAUGUUCUCUCAUUUUGCUUGUCCCCUUUUUUCUCUCCAUGCUAGGGUUUUAAAAUGUGAAAGAAUGAAUGGUAGAAAAAAUGUGAAAAGGGUGUUUAAAAAGUGUAAAAAUUGUCCCAACCAAAUUACAAGAAGAAUCCCUGAAAAAUUAUAAUGAGCGCAUAGGUCCUCAUUUUCAAACUAAGGCGCGCGCCUUAGUCCUUUAGUUGCCAUCUGUUACUCAAAAUUGCAACUAGGGCACGUGCCUUAGCCCUUGUUUUUCUUUUCUUCAGUUUGGUUCCCAAAGAAUUGCAUGUUGAUCCCCCAACUUUGAUUUCAUCCAAUUUGGUCAUUAAAUUUUGAAUUUCUUUCAAAAAAGUCCUUCAAAAUUUGCAAUUCAAGUCCUUGAACUUUCUAACUUGUACAUUUUAGUCCCCAAAGUCAUAUUUUUGUCCAUUUUUGAUCCUUUUUCCUUCAUCCUUCUUCUCUUCCAAUUUGGGAUUUUAGCUUACAAAAGUCACAAUUAGACAAUUGUGAAUAGAAAUUCGCUCAAUUUAAUCAAUAAUUAACUAGUUAAAGUAGCUAAUAAGUAUAUAAGAACACACUUAUCAGAUACCCUCAAAUUUAAGUUCUUGCUCGUCCCGAGUAAGAUUAACUCCUAACACAAUCAUGCAAUCAAUACUAAGAACUAACAAUGUUAGAUAGCUCGUAAAGGUAUUCAUGAGCUUAAAAUUGUGUAAUCAAUUCACAAAUAUGCUUUCGAAUUAUGCUAUCAAAAGCAAUGUAAACUUGUCCAAUGUUUAAUCGAUGUAUGUGUAGGGGCGGAGCCAGGGACCUUGUCCACUGCGGGCACAACGGUACAGUAAUUUUUUUUGCUAAAAGCAGUAUACGAAAGAAAAAAGCUUCAUGCUUCCUGUGGAUCUAUAAGGAUGACGAAUUUGAAGAGGAAAGUCACAUAUGAAAACAAUCACAGUAGUAAAAAAGGAAGAGAAUUUAAGAGCAGGAAGAGAAAUAAUCCAAGCUCAAAGAAGAAGGGAAAGGAGUAAAAUAGGCCUAGGCGUAGGCCUCGCUUGCUGAAUGCGUUGCAGAAAGAGCUCAAUCUCUUAAACCCUGCAGUUGAAAGGGGAUUUUCUGAUGGUGAAAAAGAUAUUAAUUUCGACGAUACAGUUGGCAAUGAUGUGUAUGAAUACGAAGAAGGCAUUCCGGAUGAGAAAUCAAAGAAGAAUAAAUGGUUUGACCCCGUUGACAACUAUGAGUAUGAGCUUCCUGAAGAUUUUGAGGUCUUACUUUGUCUUUCGUCACUUGACACAAGUGCAUCCAUGUGUUUUACUCUUAUGUUUAAGUUAAUCUUUUGUCUUUUUUUUCAAAUGAGGUUUUUAAUUUUCACACAACCGCCGCUCAAUGACAUUUGAGAAAAUUAUAUUUUAAAUAGAAUAGAAUUUCCUCAUUUUUAGAUUACACAUCUAUUCCCAAAUCUUAAUUAUUA
Molecule: small RNA, 1610 nt
Filed under: Olea europaea subsp. europaea
Lineage: Eukaryota; Viridiplantae; Streptophyta; Magnoliopsida; Lamiales; Oleaceae
Source: RNAcentral